ACGGCUGGCCAGGGCUCCCUGAUCUAUUCAGGCUUCUGCUAUGGGGGCGAUGGCCAGUUCUGGUGU
Small nucleolar RNA from Cynocephalus volans (Philippine flying lemur), 66 nucleotides. RefSeq annotates it as small nucleolar RNA SNORD86. The record is from RefSeq and is a predicted model, not a curated record. Lineage: Eukaryota; Metazoa; Chordata; Mammalia; Dermoptera; Cynocephalidae. The transcript has a single exon.